Beta vulgaris subsp. vulgaris (sugar beet) is the source of this 1585-nucleotide long non-coding RNA. RefSeq lists it as uncharacterized. The record is from RefSeq and is a predicted model, not a curated record. NCBI's taxonomy places the organism in Eukaryota, Viridiplantae, Streptophyta, Magnoliopsida, Caryophyllales, Amaranthaceae. The transcript has 2 exons.
UAUUGUUUCAACGGAAAAAUGUUUGAAAAAAAGUUGACAUUUGACCAGACAUAUUGCUGGGGUUUCUGACAAGAACCGCAACAAUAUAUUAAAAACUUAAUAUUUUAAUAUAUUGCUGCGGUUUUUGUCAAAAACUGCAGCAAUAUAUCUCACCAAAAAAAUAAAACCUUAAAUUUGAGUUAAGUGGGGCUCCCCUCUCUCUUUCAAAUCUCCCUCCCAUAUAUCCCUCUCUCUUGUUAACCCUAAAAAAUACUCCCAACUUCUCUCUCUUCCCUCUCCCAGCCGCUCUCUCUCUUCCCUCUCUCUCUCGAAAUUCCGGUCUCCCUCUCUCUCUUGUAAACCCGAAAAUCUCCAUCUCUCUCUUCCUUUUCGUUCGCCCUGCAGCUUCCCUCCUCAAAAACCCACUGGCAGUUCAGUUCAUUCAUGGAUGAACGUUGAGUUCGUUCGUCCCUCCUCACCCACCGGUAGGUUUUCUUUUCUCCUAAAACUCGAAACCCUUAAUCCCUCACUCUCCAGAUCUCCGGCGCUUCCUCCCUCCUCACCCACCGGUAGGUCGUUCGUCGUUCGUUUUUAGAGCAAUGGGUCUCGGCUAUUCUUCUUAUCUAGGGAAGGUUAUGCAAAUUCAGUAAAACAUUAUGCGUAUUAAAGAACCCCGGGACGAGAAUAGUUGAUUGGAGCGGGUGAGCAGGAAGAUGGACUUUUCUUUUUCCGGGGCGUUCAAAAGGUAAAAAUCAUGGUUAUGGAUGUCAUGGCAUCUAUAGAUAUCUGGCAUAAGUGUUUAGGUCACCCUUCGAAUAAAGUUUUAAUUUACGUCAUUUACCGUGUGUAAGUCCUUCUAGUGUUAGUAGUUGCAAUAACGAUGGGUGUGAUGUCUGUUUUCAUGCUCAUCAACCUAGAACUAGUUUUCUUAAGAGUAAUAGUAGAGCUAGUAGGUUUUUUGAGUUAUUUCAAUUGUGAUUUAUGGGGGCCAAUAUCACAUUAAGUCAAGUUGUGGUGCUUCAUAUUUUUUAUUUAUAGUGGAUGCUUUUUCUCGCAUUGUUUGGACGUAUUUAUUAUAUAAUAAAUUGGAAGUUGAGACUAUGUUUAUUUGUGGCUUUGAUUGAUCGCAAAUUUGAACAGAAAAUCAAAUGCGUGCGUAGUGAUAAUGGAACUGAAUUUAACUACCUUAAACCAUACUUUGUGCACCAGGGAAUUAUUUUUGAAACUUCUUGUACUAAAACUCCACAACAAAAUGGACGAGUUGAAAGGAAACAUCUACAUAUUUUAAAUGUGGCACGUGCUUUGAGAUUUCAGGAUCACCUACCUUUAAAAUUUUGGUGGGGAUUGUAUGUAGGCAGCUUGUCAUUUAAUGAAUCGAACUCCAUUUGUUGUUCUUGAUUAUAAAACUCCCUAUGAGUGUUUGUUUGGUAAACCCCCUAAAAUGACUGAUAUAAGGAUUUUUGGGUGUUUGUAUUAUGCCUACAAUGUUUCUCAUGGAGGUGAUAAGUUUGCCAGUAGGAGCCGUCGAUGUGUUUUUGUUUGUUAUUCUUAUACCCAGAAAGGAUGGAAAUUAUACGACUUAGAAACCAAAAAAUAUUUUGUUUCC